AGAGUUUGAUCCUGGCUCAGAUUGAACGCUGGCGGCAUGCCUUACACAUGCAAGUCGAACGGUAACGCGGGGCAACCUGGCGACGAGUGGCGAACGGGUGAGUAAUGCAUCGGAACGUGCCCAGUAGUGGGGGAUAGCCCGGCGAAAGCCGGAUUAAUACCGCAUACGACCUAUGGGUGAAAGUGGGGGACCGCAAGGCCUCGCGCUAUUGGAGCGGCCGAUGUCAGAUUAGCUAGUUGGUGGGGUAAAGGCCUACCAAGGCGACGAUCUGUAGCUGGUCUGAGAGGACGACCAGCCACACUGGGACUGAGACACGGCCCAGGCUCCUACGGGAGGCAGCAGUGGGGAAUUUUGGACAAUGGGCGCAAGCCUGAUCCAGCCAUGCCGCGUGCGGGAAGAAGGCCUUCGGGUUGUAAACCGCUUUUGUCAGGGAAGAAACGCUCCGGGCCAAUACCCUGGGGUAAUGACGGUACCUGAAGAAUAAGCACCGGCUAACUACGUGCCAGCAGCCGCGGUAAUACGUAGGGUGCAAGCGUUAAUCGGAAUUACUGGGCGUAAAGCGUGCGCAGGCGGUCUUGCAAGACAGAUGUGAAAUCCCCGGGCUCAACCUGGGAACUGCAUUUGUGACUGCAAGGCUGGAGUGCGGCAGAGGGGGAUGGAAUUCCGCGUGUAGCAGUGAAAUGCGUAGAUAUGCGGAGGAACACCGAUGGCGAAGGCAAUCCCCUGGGCCUGCACUGACGCUCAUGCACGAAAGCGUGGGGAGCAAACAGGAUUAAAUACCCUGGUAGUCCACGCCCUAAACG
RNAcentral lists this ribosomal RNA (803 nucleotides) under uncultured bacterium. RNAcentral describes it as "bacterial SSU rRNA". It matches the Rfam family "Bacterial small subunit ribosomal RNA", at positions 8 to 808 of the family's 1533-position model. The record is from RNAcentral.